CCAAUAGCGUAUAUUAAGGUUGCUGCGGUUAAAAAGCUCGUAGUUGAAUUUCGGGAUUGAUGCAUCGGUCGUGCCUUAAGGGGUAUGAACUGGUGUAGCCAAUUUCUUACCUUCUGGUGAAUUGUGAUGUCCUCCUUAAUUGGGUGUUUCAAUGAACUAGGACUUUUUACUUUGAAAAAAUUAGAGUGUUUAAAGCAGGCAUUAUUUGCUUGAAUACAUUAGCAUGGAAUAAUAAAAUAGGACAAUGAUUCUAUUUUGUUGGUUUCUAGGAUCACUGUAAUGAUUAAUAGGGAUAGUUGGGGGCAUUAGUAUUCAAUUGUCAGAGGUGAAAUUCUUGGAUUAAUUGAAGACUAACUACUGCGAAAGCAUUUGCCAAGGAUAUUUUCAUUAAUCAAGAACGAAAGUUAGGGGAUCGAAGACGAUUAGGUACGUCGUAGUCUUAACCAUAAACUAUGCCGACUAGGAAUCAGACAACGUUAAAUUUUUAAUGACUUGUUUGGCACCUUACG
RNAcentral lists this ribosomal RNA (509 nucleotides) under uncultured Glomeromycotina. RNAcentral describes it as "partial small subunit ribosomal RNA". It matches the Rfam family "Eukaryotic small subunit ribosomal RNA", at positions 591 to 1092 of the family's 1831-position model. The record is from RNAcentral. Lineage: Eukaryota; Fungi; Glomeromycota.